RNAcentral lists this small RNA (17 nucleotides) under Arabidopsis thaliana (thale cress). Its description in RNAcentral is "ATSL251510". Lineage: Eukaryota; Viridiplantae; Streptophyta; Magnoliopsida; Brassicales; Brassicaceae. The record is from RNAcentral.
AGAAUACAAGAGAAAAC